AGUCGAGCGCACUCCUUUGGAGUGAGCGGCAAACGGGUGAGUAACGCGUGGGAAUCUACCCAUCUCUACGGAAUAACACAGAGAAAUUUGUGCUAAUACCGUAUACGUCCCUUCGGGGAGAAAGAUUUAUCGGAGAUGGAUGAGCCCGCGUUGGAUUAGCUAGUUGGUGAGGUAACGGCUCACCAAGGCGACGAUCCAUAGCUGGUCUGAGAGGAUGAUCAGCCACACUGGGACUGAGACACGGCCCAGACUCCUACGGGAGGCAGCAGUGGGGAAUAUUGGACAAUGGGGGCAACCCUGAUCCAGCCAUGCCGCGUGAGUGAUGAAGGCCCUAGGGUUGUAAAGCUCUUUCA
RNAcentral lists this ribosomal RNA (353 nucleotides) under Bartonella sp. B12. RNAcentral's name for it is "bacterial SSU rRNA". It matches the Rfam family "Bacterial small subunit ribosomal RNA", at positions 60 to 438 of the family's 1533-position model. The record is from RNAcentral. Lineage: Bacteria; Pseudomonadati; Pseudomonadota; Alphaproteobacteria; Hyphomicrobiales; Bartonellaceae.